RNAcentral lists this ribosomal RNA (235 nucleotides) under uncultured bacterium. RNAcentral describes it as "partial 16S ribosomal RNA". It matches the Rfam family "Bacterial small subunit ribosomal RNA", at positions 112 to 334 of the family's 1533-position model. The record is from RNAcentral.
AACGCGUAAAUAAUCUACCCUGAUGUCUGGGAUAACCAGCCGAAGGCUGACUAAUACCGGCUAUAUGCUACCCUAUUGGGGGGUAUCAGGAAAGGUGGCCUCUUCUUGAAAGCUAUCGCAUUGGGAUGAGUUUGCGUACCAUUAGCUAGUUGGUGGGGUAAAGGCCCACCAAGGCGACGAUGGUUAGCGGGUCUGAGAGGAUGAUCCGUCACACUGGCACUGGAACACGGGCCAG